RNAcentral lists this long non-coding RNA (398 nucleotides) under Fukomys damarensis (Damara mole-rat). RNAcentral describes it as "lncRNA (ENSFDAG00000024832.1)". The record is from RNAcentral. Lineage: Eukaryota; Metazoa; Chordata; Mammalia; Rodentia; Bathyergidae.
AAAGCGACAAAGACAAUUAUGCUAUGUGAAAUAUAUUUCAAUAAAACUAUGAUCCAAGGAUCUGUGUUAUCCCACAAUUUAAUUCCAGACAACUCAUAUCCAUUGUGAAGGACUUGGGACGCCUCACUGUCUUCCAAGAUAGGAAACAAGGGUUCAAUUAUGGGAUCCCUAUGUAAGGAGGCUCCUAUUUCUGGUGAAGUGCUCAGACUUCGGAGUACAAACGCCUCUGAGCCAGAGCUAUAACACUCCGCUGUGCCUCAGAGCUGUGGCACUUGGCUGUGACCCUGAGCUGUCCUGCUUUGCCACAACAUUACCUGCUUAUAGUCCCAGCAUGCAGCUGUCUCAGGCAGGAGGACUACAAAUUGAAGCCCAGCCUGGGACACUUAGCAAGAGCCUGC